Molecule: long non-coding RNA, 689 nt
Organism: Girardinichthys multiradiatus
Lineage: Eukaryota; Metazoa; Chordata; Actinopteri; Cyprinodontiformes; Goodeidae
Exons: 3
Source: RefSeq, a predicted model, not a curated record
CUCUCUUCCUCCCUCUCCUGGCUGCUGCGAGUAUUACGGAAGGCUUUGCUGAGCUGCAGAGUUCCUGCACACCUGCAGCCACUCAUUCUCAUCAGUCUCAGCGCUAGAGCCUAAGAGGAGCUUGCUGUGUGUCAUUUGGCGCCUGGGUGUCAACGUUUGUGAGUUCUCUCCUGGAUUCCUUCCCCUGCGUGAAGUAACAAGACUCCCUGUUUAAGCUCCCUGGUUUAAUAACUUCUCGGAUCACUGCUCCCAUGACCAGCAACCAUAAGGCUUCACUCACUUGCUCCAGUUUCUACCUGCCUGCUCUCCAACGGACAUCAACCAUCUGCACGCCAACCUCUCUCACGAACAGACUCCGCUGGCCUCUUCAUACGCCUCCUACAUGGUCUAGACCUCCCACGGCUCCAUUUUAACCUUCCAUGAUCCCUGGGAGUUUAGCCAGGGCUCAGAGCACCUAAAUACAUGUUGGAAAAUCGGACUGCACCACCAACUCCUGCUGGAGAGGGCGAAUUUGUAUUUUCUUUAGUUAAAGUAGCUCUCUUGUAUUUGACUAAAGCUUUGUAUUUAAAGUUUAGUGGUUUUCAUUUCUUUCUUUAGUGUUCAAUUUAGCAACCUCUUUUAUGAGCUCCGUUGUCAUUUUUGCAUUUAACUUUUUUGGGUUAAAAUAAAAAAAACAAUUUUUCUAAUAA